This is a long non-coding RNA of Corapipo altera (White-ruffed manakin), 1108 nucleotides long. RefSeq lists it as uncharacterized. The record is from RefSeq and is a predicted model, not a curated record. NCBI's taxonomy places the organism in Eukaryota, Metazoa, Chordata, Aves, Passeriformes, Pipridae. The transcript has 3 exons.
UUUACAGCCCCCAAAAUACUCCAUUAAAAGAGGUUAAUUCACUGUGUGUAAAAGUGCUAGAAAGUUUGUUUUUAGAAAACCAAUUGAGCUUUAACAAUGGGAAGUUUCUGGCUUUGGCAGCUGUAGCUGCAGGGAGGGAGGUCAGGCACAGGGCCUGUCCAGAUCCAGCACAAGAAGGGACAGCAUGAACAGCAGCCUCAGGGAGGGAGACCAUGGCUCUUCCACCCAGUCCCAGGGCUAAUCCCCAAACCCUUCACCUUCCAAGGGCAUGUCCACUGGCUCAUGGGGCAGAUGGCAGAGCUUGUGCCUGGGAGAGGGUUCUCAAAAUGACUUGUGGUUGCAAAAGUCGCUCAGUAGCUUUUCCUCCAGCAGCAGUUUUGGAGCUCAGCUGCUCCAGGGGUGAGUCUUCGUGGUUCCACAGGUUCCUUUUUGUGCCUCCUGGAGCACUUCAGCAGACAGCUCUUGUGUUCUUCAUCAGUAUCCUCAUUUAAGAAAAACACUGGUACACAUGUUACAAAACAACCUUUCUAAAAAUUGUUCCUAGGUAUGAGUGGGAAAAUCCCAUGAAGCAUCAAGGCUGAGGCACUCAGCAGGGUGAGGAGAUCUCACAAACUCCAGAGAGGCUUCUAGCAGAAGUUAUGGGAUGUGCUGGAGUUUGCAGGCUCCUGCACCCUUCUGCUGACCCUGAAGUGGCUGCUGCUGAAGACCAUGAGCAAAGCUUGUGUUACCUUCAAGUGCAAGACACUGACUACAGAGGGAAAAGGGCUGCAGGCAGGUCUGUGGUCUGUUCACCUGGAUGACAGAGUCUGAAGCGUUUAGUGGCGAGUGGUCUGUGGGAACAUGUGGAGCUGGUAGAUUGCAGAGUGCACUCUGGGAGAAGACUCCUUACCUGGAGCCACAGGAAUGGCUGAAACAUGUGGAAGGAUUCCUAAAGGAUUCCAGUUAUUCAGCAGAAUGAAGCAAGUCUGCCCCUGGGUGCAGGGAAUAGCCAGAGGCAGCAGAAAAUGCCUCCUCGGGGUUGUUCUGUCCCGACAGCAAAGGUGGUGCAGUGGCAGAGAAAAGAAACGGGGAUUUUUUUUCAGUGAACUGCAGGAAAUCUUCCCAGCAG